UAUUGGUCAAUGGUCGGGAGACUGAACCAGCCAAGUCGCGUGAGGGAUUAAGGCCCUGCGGGUCGUAAACCUCUUUUGCCGGGGAGCAGAGGUCCGGACGUGUCCGGGCCGGGAGAGUACCCGGAGAAAAAGCAUCGGCUAACUCCGUGCCAGCAGCCGCGGUAAUACGGAGGAUGCGAGCGUUAUCCGGAUUUAUUGGGUUUAAAGGGUGCGUAGGCGGAAUGCCAAGUCAGCGGUAAAAUCGCGGGGCUCAACCUCGCUCCGCCGUUGAAACUGGCGUUCUUGAGUGGGCGAGAAGUAUGCGGAAUGCGUGGUGUAGCGGUGAAAUGCAUAGAUAUCACGCAGAACUCCGAUUGCGAAGGCAGCAUACCGGCGCCCAACUGACGCUGAAGCACGAAAGCGUGGGUAUCG
This 411-nucleotide ribosomal RNA is filed under the name uncultured bacterium. Its description in RNAcentral is "bacterial SSU rRNA". It matches the Rfam family "Bacterial small subunit ribosomal RNA", at positions 362 to 770 of the family's 1533-position model. The record is from RNAcentral.